RNAcentral lists this ribosomal RNA (253 nucleotides) under uncultured bacterium. Its description in RNAcentral is "partial 16S ribosomal RNA". It matches the Rfam family "Bacterial small subunit ribosomal RNA", at positions 524 to 776 of the family's 1533-position model. The record is from RNAcentral.
UACGUAGGGUGCAAGCGUUAAUCGGAAUUACUGGGCGUAAAGCGUGCGCAGGCGGCUUUGCAAGACAGAUGUGAAAUCCCCGGGCUUAACCUGGGAACUGCAUUUGUGACUGCAUGGCUGGAGUGCGGCAGAGGGGGAUGGAAUUCCGCGUGUAGCAGUGAAAUGCGUAGAGAUGCGGAGGAACACCGAUGGCGAAGGCAGCCCCCUGGGUCGCCACUGACGCUCAGGCACGAAAGCGUGGGGAGCAAACAGG